This 497-nucleotide ribosomal RNA is filed under the name uncultured bacterium. RNAcentral's name for it is "partial 16S ribosomal RNA". It matches the Rfam family "Bacterial small subunit ribosomal RNA", at positions 28 to 507 of the family's 1533-position model. The record is from RNAcentral.
GAUGAACGCUGGCGGCGUGCCUAAUACAUGCAAGUCGAGCGAACGGACGAGAAGCUUGCUUCUCUGAUGUUAGCGGCGGACGGGUGAGUAACACGUGGAUAACCUACCUAUAAGACUGGGAUAACUUCGGGAAACCGGAGCUAAUAUCGGAUAAUAUUUUGAACCGCAUGGUUCAAAAGUGAAAGACGGUCUUGCUGUCACUUAUAGAUGGAUCCGCGCUGCAUUAGCUAGUUGGUAAGGUAACGGCUUACCAAGGCAACGAUGCAUAGCCGACCUGAGAGGGUGAUCGGCCACACUGGAACUGAGACACGGUCCAGACUCCUACGGGAGGCAGCAGUAGGGAAUCUUCCGCAAUGGGCGAAAGCCUGACGGAGCAACGCCGCGUGAGUGAUGAAGGUCUUCGGAUCGUAAAACUCUGUUAUUAGGGAAGAACAUAUGUGUAAGUAACUGUGCACAUCUUGACGGUACCUAAUCAGAAAGCCACGGCUAACUACGUG